AACGUAGGAGGCGAGCGUUAUCCGGAUUUACUGGGCGUAAAGCGCGCGCAGGCGGCUUGGCAAGUCGGGCGUGAAAGCUCCUGGCUUAACUGGGAGAGGUCGUUCGAUACUGCUGGGCUUGAGGUUGGGAGAGGGGUGUGGAAUUCCCGGUGUAGUGGUGGAAUGCGUAGAUAUCGGGAGGAACACCAGUGGCGAAGGCGGCACCCUGGCCCACACCUGACGCUGAGGUGCGAAAGCGUGGGGAGCAAAC
This 250-nucleotide ribosomal RNA is filed under the name uncultured bacterium. Its description in RNAcentral is "partial 16S ribosomal RNA". It matches the Rfam family "Bacterial small subunit ribosomal RNA", at positions 524 to 773 of the family's 1533-position model. The record is from RNAcentral.